AUGCCACCCUCCGGCAUCCUCUCCUACAUCCCGACCAGCCUCUCCUCCAUCCUCCCGGUCCGCGGCUGCGGCGCGGCCCCCUUGCCGUCUCCGUCGCCGUCGCCUCCAACUCCACCGGCGUCCCCGGCCCCGAGCAAGAUGUCGCCCUCGGUGAAGGCGGCGGACCGCGCGGAGCUGGCGCGCGUGUUCGAGCUGUUCGACCGGAACGGCGACGGGCGCAUCACGCGGGAGGAGCUGGAGGACUCGCUGGGCAAGCUGGGCAUCCCCGUGCCGGGCGACGAGCUGGCCGCCAUGAUCGCGCGCAUCGACGCCGACGGCGACGGGUGCGUGGACGUGGAGGAGUUCGGGGAGCUCUACCGCACCAUCAUGUCCACGGGCGGUGGCGGGGGCCAGAAGGGCUCGUCGGGCGAGGAGGCGGCGGCGGAGGAGGACGAGGACGAGGACAUGCGGGAGGCGUUCCGUGUGUUCGACGCCAACGGCGACGGGUUCAUCACGGUGGACGAGCUGAGCGCCGUGCUGGCGUCGCUGGGGCUGAAGCAGGGCCGGUCGGCCGAGGAGUGCCGCCGCAUGAUCGGGCAGGUGGACCGCGACGGCGACGGCCGCGUCGACUUCCACGAGUUCCGCCAGAUGAUGCGCGGCGGCGGGCUCGCCGCGCUCGCCUGA
RNAcentral lists this ribosomal RNA (663 nucleotides) under Triticum aestivum (bread wheat). RNAcentral's name for it is "partial small subunit ribosomal RNA". Lineage: Eukaryota; Viridiplantae; Streptophyta; Magnoliopsida; Poales; Poaceae. The record is from RNAcentral.